Molecule: ribosomal RNA, 133 nt
Filed under: uncultured bacterium
Lineage: Bacteria
Description: partial 16S ribosomal RNA
Source: RNAcentral
UAGGUUACGUCAAGACUCACGGUUAUUAACCGUAGGCUUUUCUUCUCUACUGAAAGUGCUCUACAACCCGCAGGCCUUCUUCACACACGCGGCAUUGCUGGAUCAGGCUUGCGCCCAUUGUCCAUUAUUCCCC